Haliotis rufescens (red abalone) is the source of this 545-nucleotide long non-coding RNA. RefSeq lists it as uncharacterized. The record is from RefSeq and is a predicted model, not a curated record. NCBI's taxonomy places the organism in Eukaryota, Metazoa, Mollusca, Gastropoda, Lepetellida, Haliotidae. The transcript has 3 exons.
UGAGCUACGUCCACACUGUUAAACUUAGUGCAAAUUUACAUAGUCAUGCCUAUGACGUUACGGAACUGAACGACAAGGGUCGAAUAGGUGACGGACACUUACGAAAGUUACGGGUAGGCAUGGUGUCUCGUGACUUUAGUCUACGGACACUAACGAAUGAUCCCGAUGCCAUUUGGCACACUCGUCCCAUUCCGUAAUCUACAAGAUACCGGGUGGUGAGGAAUGAGCCGAUAUGCCGCGAACUGAAAACUGCUCCAGGCGUCAGACGUCAGACGUCGAACUCGCGAGUGUGCAUGAAUGAUGUGGUAUUUAAUAAUUCGUCGGGUGAUUUUUGUGACAGAAAAGUGUGGUAGGGAACACUGUAAGGAUGAUGUGGAUAAUAGUAAGGAACGAUGGAGGAAUAAGCAUGACUAGUGACGACACAACGCAAGGGGGAAAAUGUUACACGACCAUUCCAUAAGAUAUCAUGAAGAAUGUUGAAUCAUUGAGGAAUACACCAAAUAAACCCUGGGCUGUGAAUUAUGUUAACGGAAGUGGAAGUGAAC